GACAGAGGGUGCAAACGUUGCUCGGAAUUACUGGGCGUAAAGCGCGUGUAGGCGGACUGGUGUGUCGGAUGUGAAAUCCCCAGGCUCAACCUGGGAACUGCAUUCGAAACUGCCAGCCUUGAGUGGUGGAGAGGGAAGUGGAAUUCCUGGUGUAGUGGUGAAAUGCGUAGAGAUCCGGAGGAACACCAGUGGCGAAGGCGACACGCUGGGCCGUACCUGACACUGAACCGCGACAGCAUGGGGAGCAAACAGG
Molecule: ribosomal RNA, 253 nt
Filed under: uncultured bacterium
Lineage: Bacteria
Description: partial 16S ribosomal RNA
Rfam family: Bacterial small subunit ribosomal RNA
Source: RNAcentral